RNAcentral lists this transfer RNA (87 nucleotides) under Micromonospora krabiensis. RNAcentral describes it as "tRNA_Ser_GCT". It matches the Rfam family "tRNA". Rfam says of the family: Transfer RNA (tRNA) molecules are approximately 80 nucleotides in length. Their secondary structure includes four short double-helical elements and three loops (D, anti-codon, and T loops). Lineage: Bacteria; Bacillati; Actinomycetota; Actinomycetes; Micromonosporales; Micromonosporaceae. The record is from RNAcentral.
GGAAGGUUGGCCGAGUUGGUAAGGCAGCGGGUUGCUAACCCGUAGCGGGUCACACCGUCGGGGGUUCGAGUCCCUCACCUUCCGCCA